RNAcentral lists this transfer RNA (72 nucleotides) under Camelus ferus (Wild Bactrian camel). It matches the Rfam family "tRNA". Rfam says of the family: Transfer RNA (tRNA) molecules are approximately 80 nucleotides in length. Lineage: Eukaryota; Metazoa; Chordata; Mammalia; Artiodactyla; Camelidae. The record is from Rfam by way of RNAcentral.
GAGGGUAUAGCUCAGUGGUAGAGUGCAUGCUUAGUAUGACAGAGGCCCUGGGUUCAAUCUCCCGUACCUCCA